RNAcentral lists this long non-coding RNA (806 nucleotides) under Rattus norvegicus (Norway rat). RNAcentral's name for it is "long non-coding RNA NONRATT030077". Lineage: Eukaryota; Metazoa; Chordata; Mammalia; Rodentia; Muridae. The record is from RNAcentral.
UUGGCCUCCACACACAUGCUAUGGCACACACACAACUAACCUGUAAAUAAAUUUUUAAAAAAAAGUUAAUGAAAGAAUGGGAAAAACAGUCACCUAACAUUAAAAAGCAAAUAGUUAAAAAAACAAACCUUCCCCUGAAAAGGCCGGGCUGGAGGCAGCUCAGCAGGUCAGAGUGCUUGCUGCACCUGCAAAGGACCUGGAUUUCAUUUCCUGCACCCAUGCAGCCGCUCCCAACUAUCUGUAAGUCUGUUUCCUGGGCACCAGACACCAAUGAUGCACACACAUGCAUUCAGGCACUCUGAAGAGCAAAGGUGAGAGGCCCACGUAUCAAGACAAGAAAAAAGGACGUGGCAUCCAAAACUGGCCCUUUGCCUAGUCUUAGUCUCAAUCCCAGUUCCACAGCAACCUUGCUUCUGCUCAGACUGUGUGUGCAAAGGCAGAGGCCAGGUAUCGUGGCAAGGAUUGUAUUAAGCCAUUUAACCUGCCAAACUCAGUCCAUAAACAGGAAAAUAAGAGGCCAACACAAGUCUGAAAGACCUAACCUUCUUUUAAUGUGCCUUUUCUUUGAAAAUUUUCUUCCUUUCCCUGGUCCCUUUACUUCCUGCCGAAACCUGGGCUCUUACUGCGUUCACUUCUGUGAGUCUCCUCUGUCUGAGGCUCACCUGGAGCUGCCUGCUUCCCUGGGAUACGUUGGAGUAGAGGGAUUAUGUAGGCUCUUUUGUAGGAAUGGAGUCUGUAACUAUGUUGAGGCCAGAUAUACUUAACCAAUGUCUAUUAGUAUUUACAAUAAACAUCCUAAAUUUAAA